UAAUGGCAGGUCAGCAUACUGCCGUGAAUACGUUCCCGGGCCUUGUACACACCGCCCGUCACACCAUGAGAGUUGGGGAUACCCGAAGCCUGUGAGCUAACAUUAUGAGGCAGCAGUCGAAGGUAGAAUCAAUGAUUGGGGUGAAGUCGUAACAAGGUAAC
RNAcentral lists this ribosomal RNA (161 nucleotides) under uncultured bacterium. RNAcentral's name for it is "partial 16S ribosomal RNA". It matches the Rfam family "Bacterial small subunit ribosomal RNA", at positions 1339 to 1500 of the family's 1533-position model. The record is from RNAcentral.